GAAGCUGGGUUAGGCCGAGUCAU
RNAcentral lists this microRNA (23 nucleotides) under Ananas comosus (pineapple). RNAcentral describes it as "microRNA s0101_c049". Lineage: Eukaryota; Viridiplantae; Streptophyta; Magnoliopsida; Poales; Bromeliaceae. The record is from RNAcentral.